CCUACGGGAGGAGGGAGGGGGGAAUAUUGGACAAUGGGCGAAAGCCUGAUCCAGCCAUGCCGCGUGUGUGAAGAAGGCCUUCGGGUUGUAAAGCACUUUCAGUGGGGAAGAAAGCCUUGGGGCUAAUACCCUCGAGGAAGGACAUCACCCACAGAAGAAGCACCGGCUAACUCCGUGCCAGCAGCCGCGGUAAUACGGAGGGUGCGAGCGUUAAUCGGAAUUACUGGGCGUAAAGCGCGCGUAGGCGGUCUGAUAAGCCGGUUGUGAAAGCCCCGGGCUCAACCUGGGAACGGCAUCCGGAACUGUCAGGCUAGAGUGCAGGAGAGGAAGGUAGAAUUCCCGGUGUAGCGGUGAAAUGCGUAGAGAUCGGGAGGAAUACCAGUGGCGAAGGCGGCCUUCUGGACUGACACUGACGCUGAGGUGCGAAAGCGUGGGUAGCAAACAGGAUUAGAUACCCCGGUAGUC
Molecule: ribosomal RNA, 465 nt
Filed under: Vreelandella stevensii
Lineage: Bacteria; Pseudomonadati; Pseudomonadota; Gammaproteobacteria; Oceanospirillales; Halomonadaceae
Description: partial 16S ribosomal RNA
Rfam family: Bacterial small subunit ribosomal RNA
Source: RNAcentral